UACGGGGGGGGCAAGCGUUGUUCGGAAUUACUGGGCGUAAAGGGCUCGUAGGCGGCCAACUAAGUCAGACGUGAAAUCCCUCGGCUUAACCGGGGAACUGCGUCUGAUACUGGAUGGCUUGAGAUUGGGAGAGGGAUGCGGAAUUCCAGGUGUAGCGGUGAAAUGCGUAGAUAUCUGGAGGAACACCUGUGGUGUAGACGGCUCUCUGGACCAUUACUGACACUGAGGUACGAAAGCGUGGGUAGCAAACAGG
RNAcentral lists this ribosomal RNA (253 nucleotides) under uncultured bacterium. RNAcentral describes it as "partial 16S ribosomal RNA". It matches the Rfam family "Bacterial small subunit ribosomal RNA", at positions 524 to 776 of the family's 1533-position model. The record is from RNAcentral.